RNAcentral lists this ribosomal RNA (744 nucleotides) under Bremia lactucae (lettuce downy mildew). RNAcentral's name for it is "partial large subunit ribosomal RNA". It matches the Rfam family "Eukaryotic large subunit ribosomal RNA", at positions 81 to 655 of the family's 3401-position model. The record is from RNAcentral. Lineage: Eukaryota; Oomycota; Peronosporomycetes; Peronosporales; Peronosporaceae.
UAGUACGGCGAGUGAAGCGGGAUGAGCUCAAGCUUAAAAUCUCCGUGCAAAUUUUGCAUGGCGAAUUGUAGUCUAUAGAGGCGUGAUUAGCGUAGGCACUUGGGGCAAGUUCCUUGGAAGAGGACAGCAUUGAGGGUGAUACUCCCGUUCCCUCCCGAGUUGCUUAUGCGUAUAAUCCGUUUUCUUUGAGUCGCGUUGUUUGAGAAUGCAGCGCAAAGUAGGUGGUAAAUUCCAUCUAAAGCUAAAUAUUGGUGCGAGACCGAUAGCAAACAAGUACCGUGAGGGAAAGAUGAAAAGAACUUUGAAAAGAGAGUUAAAGAGUACCUGAAACUGCUGAAAGGGAACCAAAUCGUUUCCAGUAUCUAUAAUCCGCGGUAUAUUUCAUUGGCGAAUGUGUGCGUGCAUGUACUAUGGCAGCGGCUUUUUGCUGCGCCUUGUGUGUGUUUCGCAUUUUCUCGCUGGUGCCCUGUACUGUGGUGGGACGUCAAUGUCGGUUCGUAUGCUGCGGGAAAUGACUGCCGAGGAGGUAGGGCGAACGCUUGCGUUUGUCUGUUACAUCUGGGCGGACUUAGUAGUCGUGGUUGGGACUGAGGUGCCUAUAAUGUGCUUAUGAGUGGGAUCGAAUCUCCAUGUGCGCCGUGUGCGGAUAGCUUGCUAUGCGUGUGUAGCUGUGUGUGGAUUGAGUCGAGACGUAACUUAUUGCCGUUCGGGACGUUGACGAAAUGGAGCGAUUUGACCCGUCUG